Non-coding RNA from Cyanistes caeruleus (blue tit), 2695 nucleotides. The record is from RefSeq and is a predicted model, not a curated record. NCBI's taxonomy places the organism in Eukaryota, Metazoa, Chordata, Aves, Passeriformes, Paridae.
CGGUGAGGGACUCAGCCGGCCUUUCCCUGCCUCAGCCGCCUCCUCUCAGUCUCACCCGACCGGCCGCUGCUCGGGUUCAUCCGGCCCGUUCUCCCUCACCCGAGCCCGGAGCUGUGUCCCCAGCUGGGUCGGAGCAGUGCCCGUCCCCCUGCGCUGGGCACUGCUGAGGCCCAGCGAGUGCCGUGUCCAGUUCUGUCCCUCACUGCAAAAGAGACAUGAGGAGCUGGAGUGUUCCCCAUGGAGCUGGGGAAGGCUCUGGGAAUCACUCCUAUGAGGAGUGACUGAGGGAGCUGUGUGUGGCACUUAGUGCUGUGGUUCAGUUGACAAGGAGGUGUUCAGACAGAGGUUUACUCUGAUGAUCUUAGAGGUCCUGUCCAACCUUAAUGAUUCUUUAAUUAUCUGUCUCAUCUGACCCCACUCAAAAAACACUUGGACAACAUCUUCAGACAUACGGUGAUCUUCUUGAGGUGUUUUUAUGCGGGGUGUUCUUCUCAAGAGUUGGAUUUGAUGAUCUUUGUGGGUCCCUUCCAGCUCAGGAUAUUCUCUUAUUCUCUGAUCUCCGUCUCCCCAGCUCUGCAGGUCCUGACUCCAGCCUGAGCCUGAGCCUGCCCCUGCCACUCGACGUGCCCUCCUUGCUCUCCCAUCCCUCCUUCCUCAUCACCACUGGAUCCAGCACCGGCUACAGCAUGGUCCCCUCCCCGCCCUCCUACCACAAACUGCUGAUUCCCCACCACCCCAUUCCCACCACACACAGGGACGACCCAACGCCCUCCACCUCUCGCAGCCACCCCUCACCUCUGGCCACCUUCCACACCUCUUGGCCAAAGUGGGCCCACACCUGAUGCCUCCAACAGCCCGAUGCCCCCCUCGUGUCACGGUAGCAGUGGCAUCGGCCUCGUGCUCUUCGGUGCGGGGCUUGUGAGCAAAGCCUUGUUGCAAAGCCUGCUGGAGGAGACGGGCUGCUGCCUGCUGUACGUGGUGGAGGAUCGGCCAGAGGAGGUGGAACGUGCCUUUGGCGCCGAGGUCCCGGCCAGCACCAGGGUGCUGCGGCAGCAGGACACCGCUGUCGCGCUCGGUGAUCCGCGAGUCUCUGGAGCCAUUAUUUGUUCCCCACCUGAUGAAGCCCCUGAGAUGGUAAGAGAUGCCUUACGAGCAGGUAAAGGUGUGUUCUGCGAGGGGCUGCCCAGCUUGGACAGACAGACAGCAGAAGCCUGUUUUGAUGAGGCCAGCAGGUGUGGGAGGCCACUUGUGUGUGGGUUCUACAAGCGCUUUGACCCAGCCCUGCAGUUCUUGUACAGGAAGGUGCGGGGCAGCCAGGCGCUGGGCAGGAUCCACCGGAUAUCCACCAUCAGCAGCCUCUAUCCAGCAGCCUCUCUGAGCCUGCUGAAAGCCUCAGGUGGCAUUUUUUACAACGCUGCUGUGCAUGACAUAGAUAUUAUCAGUUUGUUGUUGGGAGAGAGUGUGCCAGAUACAGUAUUUUCCCUGGGCCAUGCCUUCUGUGCAGACAUGGGCUGCCUGAGGGACGUGGACACGGUCGCCAUCAGCAUGAAGUUCCCCAGCGGGGCCAUUGUCACUCUGGAUGUCAGCCAGCACUGCACCAGGAGCUGUGACCAGCGGCUGGAGGUUCAUGGGUCUCAAGGGACAUUAAGGGUGGACAACCAGAACCCCCUGGGCAUCACAGAGCAUGGGACUUCUGUGUCCAUCUGUCCCCAGACCCAAGCUGAGCGCUACAGAGAUGCAUGCAGGGAGCUCUUCUGGCACUUUCUGAGAAGCCUGAAAGCUCACCAGCACCCGAGGAAGAGGAGGGACAGGAGGUCACCUCUGUGUGCUGAAGGCUCGGAGCUGCUGUGGGACACCCAGAGAGGGCCUUGGAGGAGAGUCCCGGGCCCAGGGCUGUGAGUGCAGCACGUCCAGCGGUCACACUUCUGUCACCCUUGGAGAGGGAACAGCCACUGCCUGCCUGGAGGAGAAGUCACAUCUCAGAGAAAUUACAGCUGGGAGAAAUGACCAGGAACAGAAGAGAAUUGGGCAGCCAGUCCAUGCUGUCCUCCUGAAAGAUGGAAUUUACACCAUGGCAUUCCAACUUGUCAGGUCUGACCUGUCAACAAAACUCCCCAAGGGAGCAAGGAGGGAUUAUUCAGACCUCUGACUUCUCAGAACAAUCACUGGCUUUCCCCCUCCUCCACAACUGCAUGCAAGAGAUUCAGAGGAGGAAAAAAAAAUGAGUUUUGAAUAGAUAAGACUGGAGACAGGCUUCUCUGCAUGUUUACAUGCUACAACAUGAAAUUAAUUUAGUUGACACUGCAGUAUCUCAGGAGUCAGUAUCAAUUUUUAUAGCUUACAUGAAAAUAAAUCUUUCUCCUUACAGCACAAUGAGCUUACUGUAUGUACAUUCUGUUUAUAUACACCAACCUUUAAGUACAAGAACACAUUGGUAAUGGACAAACAGGGCCUUUCUGGCUCUACAGAGGGCUGAGGGAAGGGAUGCGUUUGGCAGUCCAUGGAAAAGCAGGAUGUGGCUUCACACCAGUCCCUGGCAAUGCCUGCACAGGUCAGGGCUGAGUCCGUGUUGCAGUGACAAAGCCCUCUCAGCUUGGGACACCACAGAGAACAUGGACAAUGAGCAGGGAUGAGAAAAACAUGCUGUCCUUACACAGCUGGAUGCAGGGAUGCUCCAGGAAAACACAAACCAGAC